RNAcentral lists this ribosomal RNA (497 nucleotides) under uncultured bacterium. RNAcentral describes it as "partial 16S ribosomal RNA". It matches the Rfam family "Bacterial small subunit ribosomal RNA", at positions 28 to 507 of the family's 1533-position model. The record is from RNAcentral.
GAUGAACGCUGGCGGCGUGCCUAAUACAUGCAAGUCGAGCGAACAGACGAGGAGCUUGCUCCUCUGACGUUAGCGGCGGACGGGUGAGUAACACGUGGAUAACCUACCUAUAAGACUGGGAUAACUUCGGGAAACCGGAGCUAAUACCGGAUAAUAUAUUGAACCGCAUGGUUCAAUAGUGAAAGACGGUUUUGCUGUCACUUAUAGAUGGAUCCGCGCCGCAUUAGCUAGAUGGUAAGGUAACGGCUUACCAAGGCAACGAUGCGUAGCCGACCUGAGAGGGUGAUCGGCCACACUGGAACUGAGACACGGUCCAGACUCCUACGGGAGGCAGCAGUAGGGAAUCUUCCGCAAUGGGCGAAAGCCUGACGGAGCAACGCCGCGUGAGUGAUGAAGGUCUUCGGAUCGUAAAACUCUGUUAUUAGUGAAGAACAAAUGUGUAAGUAACUAUGCACGUCUUGACGGUACCUAAUCAGAAAGCCACGGCUAACUACGUG